UACAGAGGCCCCGAGCGUUAUCCGGAAUUAUUGGGCGUAAAGGGUGUGUAGGUUGCGUGAUUAGUCGUUUGUGAAAGCCCGGGGCUCAACCUCGGAUCCGCGAACGAAACGGUCAUGCUUGAGUAGAGAAGAGGUAAGCGGAACUCAUGGUGUAGGGGUGAAAUCCGUUGAUAUCAUGGGGAACACCAAAAGCGAAGGCAGCUUACUGGUCUCUUACUGACACUGAAACACGAAAGCGUGGGUAGCGAAUGGG
This 253-nucleotide ribosomal RNA is filed under the name uncultured bacterium. RNAcentral's name for it is "partial 16S ribosomal RNA". It matches the Rfam family "Bacterial small subunit ribosomal RNA", at positions 524 to 776 of the family's 1533-position model. The record is from RNAcentral.